GACGAACGCUGGCGGCGUGCUUAACACAUGCAAGUCGAACGAAGUGGCGAACGGGUGAGUAACGCGUAAUCAACCUGCCCUUCAGAGGGGGACAACAGUUGGAAACGACUGCUAAUACCGCAUACUGAAGGAGGGGAUUGCGUCUGAUUAGCUAGUUGGAGGGGUAACGGCCCACCAAGGCGAUGAUCAGUAGCCCGGCUGAGAGGAUGGGCGGCCAACUUGGGACGGGGACACGGCCCAGUCUCCUUCGGGAGGCAGCAGUGGGGACUCUUCCGCAAUGGACGACAGUCUGACGGAGCAACGCCGCGUGAUUGAUGACGGCCUUCGGGUUGUAAAGGUCUGUUAAUCGGGACGCGGUACCGGAAUAGAAAGCCACGGCUAACUACGUGCCAGCAGCCGCGGUAAUAC
Molecule: ribosomal RNA, 408 nt
Filed under: uncultured bacterium
Lineage: Bacteria
Description: partial 16S ribosomal RNA
Rfam family: Bacterial small subunit ribosomal RNA
Source: RNAcentral